AAAGCUCAAAUUUGAAAUCUGGCACUUUCAGUGUCCGAGUUGUAAUUUGAAGAAGGUAUCUUUGGGUCUGGCUCUUGUCUAUGUUUCUUGGAACAGAACGUCACAGAGGGUGAGAAUCCCGUGCGAUGAGAUGUCCCAGACCUAUGUAAAGUUCCUUCGAAGAGUCGAGUUGUUUGGGAAUGCAGCUCUAAGUGGGUGGUAAAUUCCAUCUAAAGCUAAAUAUUGGCGAGAGACCGAUAGCGAACAAGUACAGUGAUGGAAAGAUGAAAAGAACUUUGAAAAGAGAGUGAAAAAGUACGUGAAAUUGUUGAAAGGGAAGGGCUUGAGAUCAGACUUGGUAUUUUGUAUGUUACUCUCUCGGGGGUGGCCUCUACAGUUUACCGGGCCAGCAUCAGUUUGAGCGGUAGGAUAAGUGCAAAGAAAUGUGGCACUGCUUCGGUAGUGUGUUAUAGUCUUUGUCGAUACUGCCAGCUUAGACUGAGGACUGCGGCUUCGGCCUAGGAUGUUGGCAUAAUGAUCUU
This 521-nucleotide ribosomal RNA is filed under the name Lodderomyces parapsilosis. RNAcentral's name for it is "Candida parapsilosis partial large subunit ribosomal RNA". It matches the Rfam family "Eukaryotic large subunit ribosomal RNA", at positions 104 to 641 of the family's 3401-position model. Lineage: Eukaryota; Fungi; Ascomycota; Pichiomycetes; Serinales; Debaryomycetaceae. The record is from RNAcentral.